This 281-nucleotide long non-coding RNA is filed under the name Homo sapiens (human). RNAcentral describes it as "long non-coding RNA NONHSAT158810". The stretch from base 87 to 216 matches the Rfam family "Small nucleolar RNA SNORA3/SNORA45 family". Lineage: Eukaryota; Metazoa; Chordata; Mammalia; Primates; Hominidae. The record is from RNAcentral.
CUGGCUUAAACAAAAAGUUUAGAAGCAAGCCUUGCCUAUUGCUGUUUUUUACCAAGUUAACACUUGGUGUGAACUGAGAACCUGUCAUCGAGGCUAGAGUCACGCUUGGGUAUCGGCUAUUGCCUGAGUGUGCUAGAGUCCUCGAAGAGUAACUGCUGACCUUAUUCACUGGCUGUGGGCCUUAUGGCACAGUCAGUCACCAGGUUAGAGACAUGCUUCACAUUCACCUACCCACAAACUAGUGGAUGAUAAAUUUUGGCUAUUCAGAAGACGUUUAUUAU